CAGUAGCCGCGGUAAUACGUAGGGUGCGAGCGUUAAUCGGAAUUACUGGGCGUAAAGCGUGCGCAGGCGGCUUUGCAAGACAGAUGCGAAAUCCCCGGGCUCAACCUGGGAACUGCAUUUGUGACUGCAAGGCUAGAGUACGGUAGAGGGGGAUGGAAUUCCGCGUGUAGCAGUGAAAUGCGUAGAUAUGCGGAGGAACACCAAUGGCGAAGGCAAUCCCCUGGACCUGUACUGACGCUCAUGCACGAAAGCGUGGGGAGCAAACAGGAUUAGAGACCCCCGUAGUCCCUGUCUCUUAUAC
This 301-nucleotide ribosomal RNA is filed under the name uncultured bacterium. RNAcentral describes it as "partial 16S ribosomal RNA". It matches the Rfam family "Bacterial small subunit ribosomal RNA", at positions 509 to 807 of the family's 1533-position model. The record is from RNAcentral.